This 76-nucleotide transfer RNA is filed under the name Oceanidesulfovibrio marinus. Its description in RNAcentral is "tRNA-His". It matches the Rfam family "tRNA". Rfam says of the family: Transfer RNA (tRNA) molecules are approximately 80 nucleotides in length. The record is from RNAcentral. Lineage: Bacteria; Pseudomonadati; Thermodesulfobacteriota; Desulfovibrionia; Desulfovibrionales; Desulfovibrionaceae.
GCGGGAGUAGCUCAGUUGGUAGAGCACACGGUUGUGGCCCGUGUGGCCGUGGGUUCAAGUCCCAUCUCUCGCCCCA